RNAcentral lists this ribosomal RNA (402 nucleotides) under uncultured Clostridium sp. Its description in RNAcentral is "bacterial SSU rRNA". It matches the Rfam family "Bacterial small subunit ribosomal RNA", at positions 355 to 774 of the family's 1533-position model. The record is from RNAcentral. Lineage: Bacteria; Bacillati; Bacillota; Clostridia; Eubacteriales; Clostridiaceae.
UGGGGAAUAUUGCACAAUGGGGGAAACCCUGAUGCAGCAACGCCGCGUGAGUGAUGACGGCCUUCGGGUUGUAAAGCUCUGUCUUCAGGGACGAUAAUGACGGUACCUGGGGAGGAAGCCACGGCUAACUACGCGCCAGCAGCCGCGGUAAUACGUAGGUGGCGAGCGUUGUCCGGAUUUACUGGGCGUAAAGGGAGCGUAGGCGGACUUUUAAGUGGGAAGUGAAAUACCCGGGCUUAACCUGGGUGCUGCAGUCCAAACUGGGAGUCUAGAGUGCAGGAGGGGAAAGUGGAAUUCCUAGUGUAGCGGUGAAAUGCGUAGAGAUUAGGAAGAACACCAGUGGCGAAGGCGACUUUCUGGACUGUAACUGACGCUGAGGCUCGAAAGCGUGGGGAGCGAACA